This is a long non-coding RNA of Scophthalmus maximus (turbot), 1327 nucleotides long. RefSeq lists it as uncharacterized. The transcript is spliced from 3 exons. Lineage: Eukaryota; Metazoa; Chordata; Actinopteri; Pleuronectiformes; Scophthalmidae. The record is from RefSeq and is a predicted model, not a curated record.
AAAUAUCAUUGCAGUGCAUCCACCGUGCGUCAUCCAAAAGUAAAAGUGAAAGCUCCUGAGGAUCAAAACACUGGACUUCGGUCACAUUUCAGAGGCUGCUACCAGGUAAACGCAGUAAGUCGACUGCUAGACGACGCAAACAAUUUAGUAAAAUGCAGUGUGAUUCUGGUGGCGAUGCAUCACACCUUUAAGCCGGACUACACUUUACCAGACAGCAGAGAGCUCAACCGUCCAUUCGACCUCUCUGUCGACUGCCUGUUUCAUGAAAAAAAGGGACUUUUGGUUUGUCCUCGAAAUAACCCUACAACAGAGACCGUGAUGAGCUGGGUCUCAAAUCUUGAAGAUGUCUCUGAUAGAAAUGGGGGAAAAAAAAUCAAAAUAUAAGAUUUACCCCCAUACACCUUGUCUUCCUCACUACAUGCUUGGAACUGUGUGCGGCUCACAAAGCCAAUGUCCUGAAAAUGUGCUGAUAGAUACUGUAGAAAAAGCUGUUAUCACGCGUGGACAGGGCGACGGUUAGCAGCUCUGUGAGGUUAGACUCCAAUUAAAACUCUAAGAUCGGCAUGCAAAGUCCACAAUGACUCAGCAAAUACUUCUUUUGCAGUGGCAUGUUGGCAGGCUAGCAUAAAGAAAUCAGCACUAAACAAAGUACAGCAAAGGAUGAUGUGAAUGUCCUCAUAGUUUUGCAGGUAAUUAGUUAUAAUCCAAAGUACUGCGCAAAUUAACAACCUAACCCAAUAAUGGGGCUGAAAAGUUUUAAUAAUGUAUUCUGAUCGUGGAAUGUGAAUAUCUGUAUCAAAAACACAAAUGGGACCGUCAUGGUGGCACUAGAUGAAAAACUAAGGGGAUCAUCAAAGUCAGACAGAUUUGUCCUCUGGGAUGAAUUUCAUGUAUAUUUCAAUAUAUGACUCUCACUGCCUUCCCCUUAACACAUCGCGAGCAUGACAACAACUUAUUGUUGACUUGCACAUGAAAUUAAAUAGUGCAAUUGAACCCCUUAGAUCAAUACAUCAAGUCAUACAUGUCGCAUAAUGUUCUGCAUAUAUUCUAUAUGUGUUGUGCAUGUCUGUCUGAGUUUUUUUUUCUUUCUGUUACUGUACUUUCCCCUCCGCUCUUCCGUGUGAUUGAGGCCACUAUAAAUUGUGUGCUGGAAUAAGAAUACUUUGCCAAAGUGUGCAAAUUCCGCUGAAGCGUUAGCUUGGCAGGAUGCUGGACACUGAUUCCCCCACGAUGGUUUGUAAAUUGUUCGCUGAUCUGUAGGACGGUCGGACCCUUUGUGUUGCUGACAGUGUCGAUUCAAGGGCCUGGAAUAAAUAAUCACCUUGUA